GGGUACAUGGUGUAGUUGGUUAUCACGCUCGCUUAGCAGUCGCUUAUAUAAUCAUGCGAGAGGUGUUGGGUUCAAUUCCCAAUGUAUCCA
Non-coding RNA from Mycena epipterygia, 90 nucleotides. The record is from the annotation of a GenBank genome assembly. Lineage: Eukaryota; Fungi; Basidiomycota; Agaricomycetes; Agaricales; Mycenaceae.